This 406-nucleotide ribosomal RNA is filed under the name uncultured bacterium. Its description in RNAcentral is "partial 16S ribosomal RNA". It matches the Rfam family "Bacterial small subunit ribosomal RNA", at positions 28 to 526 of the family's 1533-position model. The record is from RNAcentral.
GAUGAACGCUGGCGGCGUGCCUAAUACAUGCAAGUCGAGCGCGCGGCGGACGGGUGAGUAAUGUCUGGGACACUGCUUGAUGGCGGGGGAUAACUACGGGAAACGGUACCUAAUACCGCAUACCAUCAAAUUUGCCCUGAUUGGACUAGCUAGUAGGUGGGGUAACGGCUAACCAAGGCGACGAUCCCUAGCUGGUCUGAGAGGAUGACCAGCCACACUGGAACUGAGACACGGUCCAGACUCCUACGGGAGGCAGCAGUAGGGAAUCUUCCACAAUGGGCGCAAGCCUGAUGCAGCCAUGCCGCGUGUAUGAAGAAGGUCUUCGGGUUGUAAAGCACUUUCAUCGGGGAGGCGUUACCCGCAGAGGAAGCCCCGGCUAACUCCGUGCCAGCAGCCGCGGUAAUUC